Molecule: RNA transcript, 2539 nt
Organism: Cryptomeria japonica (Japanese cedar)
Lineage: Eukaryota; Viridiplantae; Streptophyta; Pinopsida; Cupressales; Cupressaceae
Gene name: splicing factor U2af large subunit B
Exons: 20
Source: RefSeq, a predicted model, not a curated record
ACCUCUAUACGUUUAUGAUGAACCUCCAUCUUAAUGUCCUCUCUAAACUCGGUUGUCUACUUGUUACCAAAAACAAAAAAUCUGGACUAGUUUGCUGAAAACCUAAGUCAAAUUACGAUGACCCCAUUUAGUUGCAUCAGUCCUGCUCUAUGAUUUUUCUGAAAAUUCCUCCGAGACCCCUAGAUUUGGGAUUAUCCCUCUGAAUUUUAAUUAGACGCGCAGAAAAAGGGAAACAAAUACAUUAAACUGGAGGAAUUGCAAUGAUAUUUACGAGUUAGAAUUGAAAUAUACCUCAAAUCAAAACAGAUAACAUUGUCAAAUGGCAAGAGAUGAUGGCCGAAACAGGGCACGCAGGGAGGAAGACGAUACUAAUGGCAGAAAUGAGUCAUUGUAUGAGAAUGAUAGAGGUAGAGAACGGAUGAGAGAAGAUGUUGGAAGAUACAGAGAUAGAGGACAAAGAGAUGAUGAUCAAGCCAGAGGUGGUGGUCGAAGUUUUUCCAAUCGUCGUUAUAGGGAGGAAAAUGAUCGAAGCCAUAGAAAUGAUCGUGACAGACGAUAUGAUCAUGAUAGAGAACACCGGCAUAGGCGAAGGUCAAGGUCGGGUUCUCCUAGUCGAUCUUAUGAUCGUCGAGAACGACGGUCUAGAUCAGGUUCCCGAGAACGCAAAAGUAAACGGGCGAGUGGGUUUGAUUUGGCACCUGCUGGUGCUUAUGUUGCACCAACUACAUUGCUUACAGGCGAAGGUGCAGGCACAGGCAUGGGUCUCAUGCCCGGAAUUGGACAGGCUAUGCCAGGAGUAUUCACUUCAAUGUUUCCAUUUGCUGGUGGUACUCAAGCAACUAGACAUGCUCGAAGAGUAUAUGUUGGUGGAUUGCCUCCUACUGCCAAUGAACAGAGUGUUGCUGCAUAUUUUAGUCAGGUGAUGGCUGUAAUUGGAGGAAACACGGCUGGGCCAGGGGAUGCUGUUGUUAACGUCUACAUCAACCAGGAAAAGAGAUUUGCCUUUGUUGAAAUGCGUACAGCUGAAGAAGCCAGCAAUGCCAUGGCAUUGGAUGGAAUUGUUUAUGAGGGUGUACCUGUUCGCGUGAAGAGACCAAGUGAUUAUAAUCCAUUGCUUGCUGCUGCACUUGGACCAAGUCAACCAAGUUCUAAUCUCAACCUGGCUGCUGUGGGAUUGGUUGCUGGAUCAUCAAGUGUUGCAGAUGGACCUGAUCGUAUAUUUGUUGGAGGUUUGCCAUACUAUUUAACAGAAGAACAAAUUAUUGAUCUUCUUUCAUCGUUUGGACCAUUGGGUGCAUUUGAUCUCGUAAAGGAUCGUGAGACGGGAAACUCAAAAGGUUAUGGCUUCUGUGUCUACCAGGAUCCGGCAGUGAUUGAUAUUGCUUGUGCUGCUCUUAAUGGUUUGAAGAUGGGUGAUAGAACACUCACUGUCAGACGAGCUUCUGCAAGUGGCCAGCCUAAGCCUGAGCAGGCUGAUGUUUUGGUUCAUGCACAGCAACAAAUUGCUGUUCAGAAGCUAGCUCUACAAUUAAAUGGAGCAGCUAGUAUGUCUGGCAUGAUGUCGGGGUUGUUAACAGAAACUGAAAGCAAUGAACCAAUCAAUAGUUCUACAAAAGUAGUCCGUCUUUCUCAGGUCGUGGAACCUGAUGAUCUGAGGGAUGACAAUGAGUAUGAAGAGAUUUUGGAAGAUAUGCGUGAUGAGUGUGGAAAAUAUGGAACAUUGAUAAAUCUUGUUAUCCCUCGUCCUGGACCAUCUGAAAAUGAAGCUUCAUCUGGUGUGGGGAUGGUUUUUGUUGAGUAUUCUGAUGUUCAAGCAGCAGCAAAAGCCAUUUCAGCUCUUAAUGGGCGCAAAUUUGGUGGCAACGUUGUUCUUGCAACAUUCUAUUCUGAAGAGAAGUUUGAACAAGGAGACUAUGGAGGCUGAAAGACACCAAUUUUGUUGAUCAGUAGCAUUAGCCUGGGACCAUGCUGAAUGUGUUUUUCCCUGUGUAAAUUCUUCUAUUGCAUUGGGUCAUUUGGGUUUGGCCACACAAGAUAUGUAUCGUUUAUGUAGGCAAUAUUGUUCUUGCAACAUUCUAUCCUGAAGAGAAGUUCAAUCGAGGAGAUUAUGGAGGCUGAUACAUGCCAAUUCUGUCAAUCAGUAACAUUAACCUGAGAUUAUGUGAAAAUAUAUUCUCUCACUUCGUAGCACUUCAUGUUCACUCGGCUGAAUAUCUGCUGGCUUCGGAAAGAGUACCAGCAAACAUCAAUUCUUGUCCGAAGAUAAAAUUUUGAGAUAGCAUAAUUUAUUGAACCUACUGCACCCUACUUCUUGGCUACUAAUAACAGCAGGCAAAAUCAAGUCUUGGAAGUCAACUUAAUGUCUGAGGUAAAAGCUUUUUAGCAUGGCUAGCUUGAAUCAAGUAGAAGCCUUAUCUAUUUGUAUGGGAUUGGUGAUGAAUGAAAUGCAAUAUUCUGUUGUAAUUGUACUUAAUUUAACAUCAGAGAUGCGUAAGUAUGUAUUGUGUGUCAUAGCAAUAUGAGUCGUCUUUUGGAUUGA